CAUUCCGAACGGCGGAUCACUUGGCUCGUAGAUCGUUGAAGAACGACGUGACACUCGAGAAUUGAUGUGAAUUGCAGACACACUGAACUUGAAUACUUGUUACGAAAUAAAGCAAAUGCGCCGCUCGGGCUUCGGCGCUUGGACUUGCACGGUC
RNAcentral lists this ribosomal RNA (154 nucleotides) under Trichuris suis (pig whipworm). Its description in RNAcentral is "5.8S ribosomal RNA". It matches the Rfam family "5.8S ribosomal RNA". Rfam says of the family: 5.8S ribosomal RNA (5.8S rRNA) is a component of the large subunit of the eukaryotic ribosome. It is transcribed by RNA polymerase I as part of the 45S precursor that also contains 18S and 28S rRNA. Functionally, it is thought that 5.8S rRNA may be involved in ribosome translocation. The record is from RNAcentral. Lineage: Eukaryota; Metazoa; Nematoda; Enoplea; Trichinellida; Trichuridae.